RNAcentral lists this ribosomal RNA (611 nucleotides) under uncultured bacterium. RNAcentral's name for it is "bacterial SSU rRNA". It matches the Rfam family "Bacterial small subunit ribosomal RNA", at positions 338 to 950 of the family's 1533-position model. The record is from RNAcentral.
CCUACGGGAGGCAGCAGUAAGGAAUAUUGGACAAUGCUCGCAAGAGUGAUCCAGCCAUGCCGCGUGCAGGAAGAAUGCCCUAUGGGUAGUAAACUGCUUUUGAACUAGAGAAAACCCCAGUACGUGUACUGGGCUGAUAGUAUAGUUAGAAUAAGCAUCGGCUAACUUCGUGCCAGCAGCCGCGGUAAGACGAAGGAUGCAAGCGUUAUCCGGAUUCAUUGGGUUUAAAGGGAGCGUAGGUGGACUGAUAAGUCAGUGGUGAAAUCUCCGAGCUUAACUCGGAAAUUGCCAUUGAUACUGUUGGUCUUGAGUACAGUUGCUGUGGGCGGAAUAUGACAUGUAGUGGUGAAAUACAUAGAGAUGUCAUAGAACACCGAUUGCGAAGGCAGCUCACAAAGCUGUAACUGACACUGAGGCUCGAAAGUGCGGGGAUCAAACAGGAUUAGAUACCCUGGUAGUCCGCACCGUAAACGAUGAUUACUCGCUGCUAGGGGGCAACCUUUAGUGGCUUAGCGAAAAGCGAUAAGUAAUCCACCUGGGGAGUACGCCGGCAACGGUGAAACUUAAAUGAAAUUGACGGNGNGAGAGNGCGAGACGACACGAGGGAGAGG